This 71-nucleotide transfer RNA is filed under the name Propomacrus davidi. Its description in RNAcentral is "tRNA-Lys". Lineage: Eukaryota; Metazoa; Arthropoda; Insecta; Coleoptera; Glaphyridae. The record is from RNAcentral.
CAUUAGAUGGCUGAAAGAAAGUAAUGGUCUCUUAAACCAAUCCAUAAUAGAUUAACGCCUAUUUCUAAUGA